Astatotilapia calliptera (eastern happy) is the source of this 3885-nucleotide long non-coding RNA. The record is from Ensembl. NCBI's taxonomy places the organism in Eukaryota, Metazoa, Chordata, Actinopteri, Cichliformes, Cichlidae.
CAAAAACUACAGAUUCCAUCAUGCUACAAAUUCAAAUCACUUUUUUUCACAAAGGAUGAGUCAUAAAAUUUAUGACAUACUAGGCCUAAUCUAAUUCAAUGAAAAUCGCUCAUAAUAGUACAAUAAAGCACUUGGAUUUUUGGUAAGUUCCACUUAAUGAUAGGUUAAAGGUACUGUAUCUUUUAAAGGUUUGGGUUUUCCAGGGUCAAAAGUGUCUCAUUUUAAUAAUUAAAUGAAAUAAAUAUGGAAAUGUAGAUGAAGUGCAGUGCUAAGAGGCUAUUGCUCACUUGAAACUGAAGUGGCCACACUGCAGAAGAUAACUCAUUUGCAUGAAUGUCUCAUUUUGCCUUCACAUGCACACUUACUCACCUAUGCAGACACAAUCCCCUUUCUAUCUCUCAUCAGAGGUCAGAGCUCAGACCCACCACUUCAUACCUCAUCCGCAGACAAUUCAUCAUUUCUCAGAAUCUAUCCUAUGUACCCUGUACGCCUCUGACUUCUGCUAUAACUCUGAAUUAUGCCAUAUUCAAAAGUUUACAGACAACACGGCCAUUAUGGGGUGUAUCUGGGAUGACCAGGAAAAGGAGUACAGGAGUCUGGUGAGGGAUAUAGCUAAGCAGGUCACAUUCUGUGGCUCAGUCUUUCACCAAAGAAGCGAUUCUCUUACCAGACUAUCUAACUGCACAUGUGCCAAGGCGUAACAAAAAAACUUGGCUUUUUGAAAAUGGACAUAUAAAAUCUGCACUGGUACUCAGACAAAGUAAUGCAGGCAGUAAGGACUGUCUUCCAGCCAGUUGUUGAAGGAUGCAGGUAAGCUUUAGAUCCUUUUUUAUAAAAAGAUUUUUUUUUGUUACUUGGAUUAUUAUACUAUUAAAGGUCAACUUUGGGUAUUUCCAAAAAGGAUCUGGGAGCACUGAUCAGAUGACUGGAUUGAUAUCUUUUAGAGUUAACAAAAAUUAAGCCUUUUAAUGUACUGUAUUGUAUUGCAGUCUGUUAGCCUUAACAAAAAUUUCAUAUACACUGUUUUCUUCCUCCCCUAGGCUACAGAUUUUGCUGGCAUGCCACACCAAACUAGUUGAGCCAUCACUCACUUCCAAACAGACUUUGAAUGAAGACCUUGUGACUUCAUCAGAAGUCAAUUUAUGUCAGACCUGACAAGGUGAUUUUAUGUGAGGACAAUGAAUUAGAGAUGGCACGAUACCACUUUUUUAUGUCCGAUACCGAUACCGAUAUCAUAAAUUUGGAUAUCUGCCGAUACCGAUAUGAAUCCGAUAUAGUGUUUUUUAAUCAACAAAACUGUUUUUUAAAAUAUCUUGCUGCAUUUUGCAAGUCUGCAAGUUCAUACUCAAGUUUAAAACAACAACUACACUAAAGCUAUUCUGUUAUACCUGUAUACAAAAAAAAUAUUUCAUAGUUCAGCAAUACUGAUCAAUCUAAUAAACUUAGACCUACACCAUCCUCCCUAUUCUGGUAUUUUAAAGAGUACUUAGCGUAAAUAUUAAGCAACCUAACUAAUAGGGUUCCAACUCCCAGCAACAACAAAAAUAAAUAAAUAAAAAAUAGGGAACCACCCCUCACGCGCCACCUCAUGAUGCUUAAUCGACGUAAUCAACCUUAAUUUGAUGCAGUGUGAAAAAAAAUGCACAGAAAUCAAUUCUUUUUCAAGAAAUAUUAAAUAGAUUCAACAUCUUUCUUCAACAAAAUUGCAGACUGCACAGAUGGUACCUUCCCAAAGGAAAAAGUACUAUAGCUUACUAGGGUAUAUAUAUUAGACUUAAUAGUCACUAUGUACAGUAAUUGACUUCUAUUCAUUUUACAUCAAAUUAAAACUUUGGGUGUCAGAUAAUUAUUUAUUAAAAGCUAGACAUUUUAAAUGAGAAUAAGAAAGAAAAGUAUGUCUUUGUGCCCCCUUUUCCCAGUUAAUGCCCUAUCGGCCCCCCUGGCUAAACUUUGCUAGAUCCGCCCCUGCACAGUUACCAGCCAUCAGCUACGUAGAAAAAGAUCCUCGAGUAGAAAGUAAUAUUAAAUAAAUUCUAACAACAGCUUAUCAAGCUUAAACGUGCUGCUGUUGUUCAGCCGCUGGUUUCCUCUUUCUGGUGCAAAGUGGGCCAAAAACAAACCAGAGAGACGGACUCGCGACAGAAAAGCCGAUCAGCUGAUCAUUUAAGCAGUUUCACGAUUGAAGUAGCAGCCGGAGAGCGAGAGGCAGUCGCUUGUUAAGCUUAACGUGGGAAUGCUUUACAAACAUUCAGAGAUGGACUUACACACUUGCUUUACUUCUCUCGGGGAUAACUUUGUCGGAGAUGAAAUGCCAGGUUGCUAGCGAAGCUCCACAUGCUAUCCAGACCACCGACAGGUCCCGCAUGCCACAGCUGCUCUAUCACGUGAUGCAUACGUUCUGAGGUGAGUUAAGGCGUGUUGCAAGUUUUGUGAGGUGCUUUCGUGAUAUUUAAUGGAUCGGAUUACAUUUUUUAUUUUUCUCCGAUAUCCGAUCCAGUAAUUUAGGUCAGUAUCGGACCGAUACCGAUACGUAAUAUCGGAUCGGUCCAUCUCUACAAUGAAUCAGUAAGUAAUCCUGAGCAUUUCAGCAAAUGUAUGCAUGUUCAUAAAAUGAGAGUGAAAAAGGCAAAGAUGGAUUUUAAACUCCCUUAAACAUUGUCACUUGUAUUAUGUUUUAAUACAUAAUACAUAAACAUAUUACUAAUAUUUACUAUGCCAUUUUCUUGUCAGUAUAAUGAAAUGUAUUAUCUGUUUUAAUUUACAGGCUUAUUCUGAUGGAGAGAGUAGCCAUACAAGCAGGCAGGAUUUCACAGAAACGUUGAAUUCUGACAAAUGUGGUGAAAUUUCUAAAGACGUUACCUCAGCCAUUCCCAUUGUUAACACACAGUCCAUGUCUGUUGAUGAUGAGGUCAUCUGUUGCGUUGCUACUGCCACUGUCAGUGACAACACACCUGGCGUAUCAGUGGGUUCUUCUGCCAGUGUUACUGGUGACACACGUGUCUUCUCUAGUAACACCUCCAGUGUGUCCAAUGGACCUACCCAGCCAAGUUUAUCCAGCACAUCCUACAGUACAUAUCUUGGCCUGUUUGAGGAAGAAUACCUGUCAAAUGACCCCGACCUCCAAGAAGCCAUUUCAAGGUCUUUAGACGUGCAAGUAAAAGGUCAGUACAACAAAAACUUUUACUUGUCAUGUUGAAAGGUCAACAUAUUAACCAUUAUUUUAUGUUUGUUGCAGAAAAGGAGUCACCUACUAUCUAGUUUUGGAUCAGUUUGAAUAAGCAAACUACAAACUGCAACCUACGAUUUCUGUUGUCGUUUGAAGAUUACCAAGGCUAUCAGAUUAAUUAUAUUUUACUUGAUAUAUGUUUUGGUUUAUUUUUAGUGGCUUUAGUGAAAUGUUAGAUACAAAGGUUUGAAUCUGUAAAAAGAAUAAAGAAAAGAAUAUCUGGUCAUUAAACUUCUGUGCUAAUACUCUUAUUUUAUAACUCUGACCACCUGCAGCCUCUAUGAUAGUCAUUACUAUGCUGUCAUAGUUUUGAUUUCGGGCUGCUGUAGCAUUGUCCUCUCUUAUUUGCAACCCUGUCCUUAUUUUAACUCCAUCUGGUUUUUGGCUUUGACUGAUUGGAGAUAAUGAAUUGUAUUAUUUUUGCACCACACGUUGGCUAGCUUGACAUCAUAAGUGAUGUGAUAACACAACUGCAAGCAGUGUCAUCAUGCUGGUAGAAACUUGCCUUUUUUUAAAAUUAUGUAGCAGUUAUUUAUAUACUUAGCAAACACAUGUCCACACAACAAAGGUAUUUUCCCUAUUUACAUUUCCAUGCUGUGAAUAAAUAGUAUAGAGUAUUUUGUUGUUUAUGUAUAUUUGUUGUUUAUGUAUAAUUAAGC